AAACAUCAAAAGAAAUUUGUUUCUUUUGGAACUGGAGUGUGCUGGUCUUGCCUCCCUUUUCUUGGGAUUGCCCCAGCUCCUCUAAAAUUCAUUUAGCAGAGUGCACCCAAACUUGCACAGCACUCUUCUUGGCCAUUGAUAGAUGUCUAUGUCCAAGUUGCUGAGCAGGUUUUGGAAAGGCUUCUGCUUAUAAUGGUCCACCAUGGACAACAUCCUUUGCUUGACA
RNAcentral lists this unclassified non-coding RNA (226 nucleotides) under uncultured Hygrocybe. RNAcentral's name for it is "sequence contains ITS2". Lineage: Eukaryota; Fungi; Basidiomycota; Agaricomycetes; Agaricales; Hygrophoraceae. The record is from RNAcentral.